UCAGGAUAAACGCUGGCGGCGUGCUUAACACAUGCAAGUCGAACGGAGUAGUUCUCCCGAAGACCGAUGAAGCUUGCUUCUGAAGAAUUCAUUGAGCUACUAGUGGCGGACGGGUGAGUAACGCGUGGGUAACCUGCCUCACACAGGGGGAUAACAGUUGGAAACGACUGUUAAUACCGCAUAAGCGCACAGUAUCGCAUGGUACAGUGUGAAAAACUCCGGUGGUGUGAGAUGGACCCGCGUCUGAUUAGCUAGUUGGUGAGGUAACGGCCCACCAAGGCGACGAUCAGUAGCCGGCCUGAGAGGGUGUACGGCCACAUUGGGACUGAGACACGGCCCAAACUCCUACGGGAGGCAGCAGUGGGGAAUAUUGGACAAUGGGGGAAACCCUGAUCCAGCGAACCGCCGCGUGAGUGAAGAAGUAUCUCGGUAUGUAAAGCUCUAUCAGCAGGGAAGAUAAUGACGGUACCUGACUAAGAAGCACCGGCUAAAUACGUGCCAGCCGCCGC
RNAcentral lists this ribosomal RNA (509 nucleotides) under uncultured bacterium. RNAcentral's name for it is "bacterial SSU rRNA". It matches the Rfam family "Bacterial small subunit ribosomal RNA", at positions 24 to 518 of the family's 1533-position model. The record is from RNAcentral.